Molecule: unclassified non-coding RNA, 341 nt
Filed under: soil metagenome
Description: partial contains 5.8S ribosomal RNA, internal transcribed spacer 2, and large subunit ribosomal RNA
Rfam family: 5.8S ribosomal RNA (bases 1-120)
Source: RNAcentral
GAUGAAGAACGUAGCGAAAUGCGAUAAGUAGUGUGAAUUGCAGAAUUCAGUGAAUCAUCGAAUCUUUGAACGCACAUUGCGCCCUUUGGUAUUCCAAAGGGCAUGCCUGUUCGAGCGUCAUUUGUACCCUCAAGCUUUGCUUGGUGUUGGGCGUCUUGUCUCUAGCUUUGCUGGAGACUCGCCUUAAAGUAAUUGGCAGCCGGCCUACUGGUUUCGGAGCGCAGCACAAGUCGCACUCUCUAUCAGCAAAGGUCUAGCAUCCAUUAAGCCUUUUUUUCAACUUUUGACCUCGGAUCAGGUAGGGAUACCCGCUGAACUUAAGCAUAUCAAUAAGCGGAGGA